RNAcentral lists this unclassified non-coding RNA (177 nucleotides) under Haliotis rubra (blacklip abalone). Its description in RNAcentral is "uncharacterized LOC124258213, transcript variant X1". Lineage: Eukaryota; Metazoa; Mollusca; Gastropoda; Lepetellida; Haliotidae. The record is from RNAcentral.
GUAAUCUGAAGGACUACCAGCAGGCAGUCAACUGUACUCUGCAGGUACAGAGGCAAUGCAGUGAUGACGCGAUGAAGCCCACAGUAGCCGACUCCCAGACAGUGCAGGACGGCUUGGCCAAACUCUGUGGUCAUAUCGGGGAUUUCGACACCAAAUGCGUUCAAAAUGCACCCAAAG